This 468-nucleotide ribosomal RNA is filed under the name uncultured bacterium. RNAcentral's name for it is "partial 16S ribosomal RNA". It matches the Rfam family "Bacterial small subunit ribosomal RNA", at positions 28 to 507 of the family's 1533-position model. The record is from RNAcentral.
GACGAACGCUGGCGGCGUGCUUAACACAUGCAAGUCGAACGGAAAGGCCCUGCUUUUGUGGGGUGCUCGAGUGGCGAACGGGUGAGUAACACGGGAGUAACCUGCCCUUGACUUUGGGAUAACUUCAGGAAACUGGGGCUAAUACCGGAUAGGAGCUCCUGCUGCAUGGUGGGGGUUGGAAAGUUUCGGCGGUUGGGGAUGGACUCGCGGCUUAUCAGCUUGUUGGUGGGGUAGUGGCUUACCAAGGCUUUGACGGGUAGCCGGCCUGAGAGGGUGACCGGCCACAUUGGGACUGAGAUACGGCCCAGACUCCUACGGGAGGCAGCAGUGGGGAAUAUUGCACAAUGGGCGGAAGCCUGAUGCAGCAACGCCGCGUGCGGGAUGACGGCCUUCGGGUGGUAAACCGCUUUCGCCUGUGACGAAGCGUGAGUGACGGUAAUGGGUAAAGAAGCACCGGCUAACUACGUG